Molecule: long non-coding RNA, 432 nt
Filed under: Citrus sinensis (sweet orange)
Lineage: Eukaryota; Viridiplantae; Streptophyta; Magnoliopsida; Sapindales; Rutaceae
Description: long non-coding RNA (CSIN_LNC003075)
Source: RNAcentral
GGGUAAUAAUUCUCAUGUUCUAAAUUUAUUAAAAGUUCAAACAACAAAUAAAAAAAUUGCAUGUCAUAGAAAAAAUUAAAAAUAAAGAAUAAAUAUGAAAAAAAAAAUUGACCCACUGCUUUUCUUAGAUGACUGACCAGAGAAAAGUUGUCGAGCCCUAGUGUUUGCAAAAAUCAAAUUGAAAUUCGACAAAAAGAGACACAUCAAAGCUUCAUGACUCUCAGUUAUUCAUUUAAGCUUACCUUGAACAGAGAUUGAGGCAAUAUGGCAAUGAUGGCGGAGCAGGUGGACAAAGGCUGAGAAGUUGUUUCCGAUGAUGAAUGACUGAGUAUUGAUGAAUGACUGAGUAUUGAAUGACUGAGUGUUGCUAUGGCUACGGGUGAUGACAGCAGUAGAUUUGUUACCGGUGACUGGCCCAAAAUGAUCAAUCAC